Long non-coding RNA from Sarcophilus harrisii (Tasmanian devil), 3549 nucleotides. Lineage: Eukaryota; Metazoa; Chordata; Mammalia; Dasyuromorphia; Dasyuridae. The record is from Ensembl.
CUUGGUCGGUGUUUGACUUGUAAUGGAAAAUUGGGGGUGAGGAGGAGAUAAUCCUCUUUUCUAAUGAAUUUGGUUACAAUGAAAAUUCUAAUUUUUUUUUAAAAAAUAACUUUUUAGAGUUUAAAAAGUUUUAACUACUUCCACCUCUGAACCACCUAUGAGUUUGAAUUUACAAAUGACCAGCCCCUAAAAGAUACUAUUAUCAGGGAUGAGGGCUUCACGUGUUGGAAUCUUCAAGUGAAGCCCUGUGAGCUCCUCAGAGAUACUGAUGACUUGAUUCCAACUCCACUGCAGCCUUUAUAGAGCAGGGUGUAUGGGGGCAGGACUCAGAAGAGAACAGAUCAUUUUGGGUCAUCGAUUUUUUUUUCAAAAGCCAGAGGUAGGAUCAAACAAAAGAAACUCAGUUAUAUUUGGAAGAUACAACAUAAUGUGACAAACCACUCUUUUCUUUGUUGGAAAGUUGAAUACGUGUUUGGGUUAGGAAUGAUCAUAGUGUUGUUGUCUGAGGUAUCAGCAUUAGGAUAUAUUUGGAAGCAUGUUGCUGCGAUGCAUCAGGUUUGCCUAUAAGGUUUGCUAAGAGGCCAAAUUUUGUAUUGGGGUUGUAAAUGUUUCCCCAUGCACAACAGGAAAAAAAAUGAGCAAGAUUUACAGACGGGAGAGUGAAGGAAUUGGGCAUUUUGAAGAAACCAAUUGAAAAGCUAAAGUUUAUCCUUUGGGGCCAAAAAGAGACUGCGGUGAUCUUCCUAUGCCUUAUUGAUGCUGCCUAUCUGCUGACAAGCUGAUUUUCACCAGGGGGCCAGAACACAUGCUUAGGAUAUAGUUUUUCUUCACCUAUUUUUCCAAGAAGCACCCAAGUCUAUGGGGAAUAUUUGGACCAAUCUGAUUAAUUAUUGGAAAAGGACAGCAUUUUUCUAUAAAAUAGAGCGAGUCAAUGAACUCCAGUGGAAAUGCUCUAUCGGUUCUAUAUUAAUUUAACUCCUAGUUCAGAUUAAGGAGGACAUUCCACUUUAACUCAGAAUGGGGUGACUCACGUCUUCAUGUUCGUUUUAUUUAAGUAAUAGGUUCUGUAUAAAUAUAUGAUUGAAAUCAUUCUUGUUGAGUAUUUUAAAAUAAAGAGGGCAUAGGUUUGUUGUUUUUUUCUUAAUUAUGCCAUUUUUCUGCCUUAUGAUGCAGAUGUUCUGGAUGGUAAAAGAAGUAAUUAUAGUCUCUCCUUUGGAGAGUAAAGUAUCACACAGUGAAGAUUCUUACAAAAGAAAGACCGAGAAAGUGUAACUCCACAGGUAUUUAACUGAGAAAGUUUUAUAAAAAUCCAUUAAGACUUAUUUGAUCUUAUUUAAAGAGGUUGAAAAAAUACUUGUUUACACUUGGAUUGUACGUUUGGUAAUUAUUUCUAAAACUUGUAUGUAGACUGAAAUUCCUAGUAAAUUUUAUUUUGGCUGCAGAAAAAAAAUGCUACACCACAGUAUUUGCGUUAGCAGUCUUUUCAUUCAUCCAUCAGGCCUUUUGUUUGAGACCUUAUUUCCUCAUCAAUGCCAGUAAAGAAUUAUCAGUUCCUAAAAACUGUAACUAUAGUUUAUCUUUACAUGGUCCCUCCUACUUUACAGAAAGCUCUUCACUUACACUAUCUCACAUGGUGAUCCUCACAAUAGCCCUAUGAGGCAGCCAAUGCAAGUGUGAGGAUACCUCAUUUCCCAGAUGAGGAAAGUAAAGUUCACAAGAGUCAGUGGGUUCAGUCCAGAGCAUGGACACUGAUCCACAAUUUCUCCCAUUUGAUCCAAUGUGCUUUCCAUGAUGUCAGGGUAUCCCCAAGUGCUCCUGUGUGAUACCCCGAGGGCUCAAAAGGCCCCAAAGGCCCCAAAAGGGCUUUGAGCCCUUAAGGCUCAAAGAAGGAAUCACACAUACAUAUAUGUACACACAUAUACACACACACAUACACACAAUCUCUAGGGAGUCUUCCUUUUUCACUCACCACAGGCCAUUUAAUUCAUGGCCACAGACAGGUGAUGUUGCUGAAAGCCUUAGGUCAACCCCAAACCUGGGAAUCUGUCUCACUUGGCCCUGAGUCAGCCUAGAAGUAGCUGGGUUGGCUUCAGAUCCACUUCCAUUUUUUUUCUGCUCAGUAAAACAAGUCAGGAACAUGAAGGAGGAGAAGAGAAGGGACCCAGUGCACAGUAUUACUCUUUUGGAGCUAACAACAGAGCUUAUAGAUUAUCAACUCCAAUCAGAUGAAGAAACUGAGGGUCCAAGUGGGAAAGUCACAUAGUAAGCCCCAGAACUGGGAUGCAAACUCGGAUGCUCUAAGUCCCUAUCUACCACUCCUACUCCACCAUGCUGCCAGAGGCCCAGAACUCACUUUUUUAUAGCACUUUAUGCUUUACAAAGCACUCUCCUCUCAGACAUUAUCAAUAGCUUACAGACUAGACAAUCAUCCACUGGUUGAGCUAAUUAUAAAAUGGAAGUACAUUGUUUAAAAAAUAAAAACACCACUAUGUGUGCUCAUCAUUAAUAAACUUAUCUAUAGAUUUGAACAUAUUGUGACCAAUUUUUUUAAAAUUUGCAAAAUGUACUGGUAUAUCCUUAUCAGCAACACAUCACAGUAUUAAGUCCAGAAAUCUCCCAAUAAUUUUAUUAUGUAUGGUGCUUGUUUUAUCAUAAUAUAAAAAAAUACCCACACACUUUGAUUACUUAUUAUUAGACAUUUCACUUUGGUGUGGGGGGAGAAGCUUAUGUUAUUGGGUUGUCUUGAUUGUUCCUAUCUGUGAUAAAGAUUUUUUUUCUUUAGAAUAAAGUUUCUUGAAAAGAAAUAACAGUGGAAAUUCAUUUGGAAUGUAUCUUGGAGGAGGUAUAAAAAAUUGCACAUUCUAGACUGCUCGUCAUUGUCAGCGAAGUUUUUCUUGUUGUUUCAGUGAAUUGGAGUUCCUUCCUAGCCCUAUCCUCUGAGAGAAAUAAUUCAUUCUGGAUCCUACCCUGUUCUAAUCAGUAUUAAUCAAUUUGAAAAUUGAUUGAAUAUGAUGGAAUUGAAAAUCAAUUUGAAAAAUCUUAUAUAUAUAAUAUAUAUAAAAGAAUUUGAAAAAAUUCUGUAUAUAUAAGAAUUUGAAAAUUUGAGAAAAUUCUGUAUAUAAGGCUCCAGAGCUGUGAGCUGCAGAUUCUCCAUUUACUUACUUAACUAUAGAAAGUUAGCUAACGGCCCUCCACCUUUAGUUUGCCUUGACAAUGACCAAACUCAGCUUGGCAGAGAUGACAACUUCAUGGAAAGUCCCCCAAAAUAUUUUUGCACUUACGGACCAAUCACUUGUUCAAUAGGAACGGAUGACCAUCUUAUGACCUCUUAGAUCUUUGACUGUGAUAGCUUUUUAUCAUUUCUUCCUAAAUUAAAGGAAUCUUAUGUGGAAAUAUUCCUUACUUGUGACCCUGCUGGAAUAUUAUUUUGCUUAUUCAAUGGAAUUAUUCUAUAUUUGGUAUAGCUGUUCUAGAAUGACUGGACAUCUAGCCCUAUAAAAAUAGGGUCCUAGAAGGAGGUCACAUCUCAGAUCAUGAGGAACAUCUGAG